AAGAUGUAAUUUUAAUAUUUAGCAGGUAAAUAUGUUACAUCAUUCGAGGUUAUUUCGGUAAUUAAACUAUACAACAUUCAAAGAAACUUUUACUUGAUAUCCUAAAUUUAUAUAUUAGUUUGCACUAACUUAGAAAAUUGAUUGAUUAACCUAAUUUAGGCAUUAAUUAGGCAUUAAUUUACGAAUUUAGUUUAGAAAUUUACGAAUUUAGUUUAAACAUAAAAAUUUAAAAGAUUAGGAUUACUAUUCAGAAAAAAAAAAAGUUAGAAAUUUGAAUUCGAACCCGAUUAACAAUCACAAAAUCUAUUUUCGAACUCGAUGGAUUUCAAAAAUCCAUAUCUAAACCCGAAAUUAACCAAUUUUUCGAAUUCAAAACCAAAUCCAAACCGAAAGACUGGAACCCGAAAAAUUAUUUCUUUUUACCAUAUUUUAAAAUAUUUUAUAUUAAAUUUAAAAUUUUAAAAUAUAAAUUUGAAUAUAAUAUUAAAUUUUAUAUAUGAUUCGGGUUGGAUUCAAGAUGGAUAUAGAAAAAAUCCAUAGUUGGUUCAAAAAUUAAUCUCAUGUUCUUGUUGUCAAAUAAUUUAAAAAUUUUCUUAUAUGAAAUGCCAAAUAUGAGGGAACGAUAGAAAGAGAAAAUUUUUUUUUAGUAAUAUAAUAGAUAUAAAAUGACUAAAUUGCUUAUGUAUUAAAAGACAAAAAUACCGUUUUUUGAGGUACCUCGUGACUGGUAGCUUUUCUAAAAUGACUGCUAUUGCAGGUCACAAUUUUAAAAAAAUUAAAUCUGAACCGUUGAAUAGAAGUGAAUAAACGGUAACCAAAAAAAAAAAAAAAA
RNAcentral lists this long non-coding RNA (832 nucleotides) under Ananas comosus (pineapple). RNAcentral's name for it is "long non-coding RNA (ACOM_LNC002392)". The record is from RNAcentral. Lineage: Eukaryota; Viridiplantae; Streptophyta; Magnoliopsida; Poales; Bromeliaceae.